This 71-nucleotide transfer RNA is filed under the name Agrilus planipennis (emerald ash borer). It matches the Rfam family "tRNA". Rfam says of the family: Transfer RNA (tRNA) molecules are approximately 80 nucleotides in length. Lineage: Eukaryota; Metazoa; Arthropoda; Insecta; Coleoptera; Buprestidae. The record is from Rfam by way of RNAcentral.
CCUCUCGUAGCUUUGUGGUAGAGUAAUGGUGCUUAAAGCCAGAGAUCCGAGUUCAAUUCCCGGCGAGGGCG